UAUAAGGGAUUCUGAGUUUUUGUUUGCACUGUUUGACCACUCGUCUUAUUCAAAAAAUUUUAGAAUUAUUAUUUAUUUUUUUUGACUUACUUUAUUAUUCAAAGUACUUUAACACAACUUGUCGUUUUUUAUAUUUGCAUAAAUUUUUUAAAUAAGACGAGUGGUCAAAGAGUGCAAGCAAAAACUCAAAAUCCCUUAUA
Molecule: non-coding RNA, 200 nt
Organism: Oryza glaberrima (African rice)
Lineage: Eukaryota; Viridiplantae; Streptophyta; Magnoliopsida; Poales; Poaceae
Source: Rfam